UAAGACGAACCGUGCGAACGUUGUUCGGAUUCACUGGGCUUAAAGGGCGCGUAGGCGGCGUGACCAGUCGGGGGUGAAAGCCCACAGCUUAACUGUGGAAGUGCCUCCGAUACUGUCAUGCUCGAGGGAGGUAGGGGCAGAGGGAACUUCCGGUGGAGCGGUGAAAUGCGUUGAUAUCGGAAGGAACGCCGGUGGCGAAAGCGCUCUGCUGGACCUCUUCUGACGCUGAGGCGCGAAAGCCAGGGGAGCAAACGGGAUUAGAUACCCCGGUAGUCCUGGCCCUAAACGAUGGGUACUAGCUUGUGGACUGGUCAUGGGUUCACAGGCGAAGCAAAAGUGUUAAGUACCCCGCCUGGGGAGUAUGGUCGCAAGGCUG
Molecule: ribosomal RNA, 376 nt
Filed under: uncultured bacterium
Lineage: Bacteria
Description: bacterial SSU rRNA
Rfam family: Bacterial small subunit ribosomal RNA
Source: RNAcentral